RNAcentral lists this ribosomal RNA (792 nucleotides) under uncultured archaeon. Its description in RNAcentral is "bacterial SSU rRNA". It matches the Rfam family "Archaeal small subunit ribosomal RNA", at positions 85 to 879 of the family's 1478-position model. The record is from RNAcentral.
ACUGCUCAGUAACACGUAGUCAACCUAACUCGUGGACGUGGAUAACCUCGGGAAACUGAGAAUAAACCACGAUAGAUCAUAGUGCCUGGAAUGGCUUAUGGUCCAAACAGUUUACUGCCAUGGGAUGGGACUGCGGCCUAUCAGCUUGUUGGUGAGGUAAUGGCCCACCAAGGCGAUUACAGGUACGGGCUCUGAGAGGAGAAGCCCGGAGAUGGGUACUGAGACACGGACCCAGGCCCUAUGGGGCGCAGCAGGCGAGAAACCUUAGCAAUGUGCGAAAGCACGACUGGGUCAGUCCGAGUGAUUCCUGAUAAAGGAGUCUUUUGCUUGUCCUAAAAGCACAGGUGAAUAAGGGGUGGGCAAGUCUGGUGUCAGCCGCCGCGGUAAUACCAGCACCUCGAGUGGUCAGGACGUUUAUUGGGCCUAAAGCAUCCGUAGCCGGCUCUGCAAGUCUUCGGUUAAAUCCACCUGCUCAACAGAUGGGCCGCUGGAGAUACUACAGAGCUAGGGAGUGGGAGAGGCAGACGGUAUUCAGUGGGUAGGGGUAAAAUCCUCUGAUCCAUUGAGGACCACCAGUGGCGAAGGCGGUCUGCCAGAACACGUUCGACGGUGAGGGAUGAAAGCUGGGGGAGCAAACCGGAUUAGAUACCCGGGUAGUCCCAGCUGUAAACGAUGCAAACUCGGUGAUGCAUUGGCUUAUGGCCAAUGCAGUGCCGCAGGGAAGCCGUUAAGUUUGCCGCCUGGGAAGUACGGACGCAAGUCUGAAACUUAAAGGAAUUGGCGGGGGAGCAC